Long non-coding RNA from Betta splendens (Siamese fighting fish), 880 nucleotides. RefSeq lists it as uncharacterized. NCBI's taxonomy places the organism in Eukaryota, Metazoa, Chordata, Actinopteri, Anabantiformes, Osphronemidae. The transcript has 3 exons. The record is from RefSeq and is a predicted model, not a curated record.
CAAAGGGUGUGUGAAAUUUAAUACACAUAGGUUUAAUAGCAAUGAAAGAUGAUUACGUUGGAUCACCUAUCUGACCUUAACGAGUCAUCAGUUGUGAGAAUAAUGUGUGUGGUAAAGUCCGAUCUGUGGGAUGUGGGGCCGUAGCAACUAAGGCCGGUCCAGUUCCACCUCACAGGGAAAAACACCAGAACACACACACUCAACCCAGACAGAGAGAGAGCGAGACAGAGGGAAACAGGGGGAGAGACCCGUCACAUGGAGACAACUGCAGAUGGCAGCACACGACUGUGGGCUUCGUCGCCAAAACACAACUUUCUCAACAUCUCCACGCACACGUGAACCGCGGUCGCAGCGGCGUUCAGGGCCGCAACGCGGCACGCCGCCGCGCGACGGCCGCCGCUCGCGUCUGUUCCUGCAGCUGCUGAACGCGCUGCUCCUUUAACGGCUGCUACUCCCACAGGACUCCGGGUCACCGUGACCCAGACAAAAUCCCCGGAGGCAGCCAAAGACGGCAGUCUGAACGCGAGUCUCCUGGCGGGAGCGUUGCAACAUUACGCUCGGCGCGGUGGCAGUGAGGUUUAUUAUUAUUGCCUCGGCAGCAGGCGGCCUCGGGACCGUCUGGGUACCGUGGCAGGAGAAUGAGGGCAUCGAUGACCUGGGAACGCCGCAAACCGCAGGCGACCCUUCGGCCUCCGCUCGCGUCCUCCGGCUGAGCUCUGUUGACAACUGCGCUCGUUUGGAAGCGUCUUAAUUUCUUGGAAUCCUCCGCGAAGCCCUGCCGCAGCGGUCUCAUUUACAGCGAACUGCACUCUGAGUUCCUUUUGAUCGACUGCAGGGAGCAGCGGCUCUAAUCUCCACAAUAAACAGAAAUGCCAGCAUG